UGGUGGAGUGAUUUGUCUGGUUAAUUCCGUUAACGAACGAGACCUCGACCUGCUAAAUAGUUGGGUUCAUCUUUCGAUGGGUCAGGUGUGCGUUGCCCCGCCUCGUGCGGCGGCGGCGCGCUCCGACACCGACUUCUUAGAGGGACUAUCGGUGCUUAGCCGGUGGAAGUUCGAGGCAAUAACA
RNAcentral lists this ribosomal RNA (184 nucleotides) under uncultured eukaryote. Its description in RNAcentral is "partial 18S ribosomal RNA". It matches the Rfam family "Eukaryotic small subunit ribosomal RNA", at positions 1299 to 1458 of the family's 1831-position model. The record is from RNAcentral.